GGGCCCGCACAAGCGGUGGAGUAUGUGGUUUAAUUCGAUGCAACGCGAAGAACCUUACCAGGGUUUGACAUCCUGCGAAUCUCUUGGAAACAGGAGAGUGCCUUCGGGAACGCAGUGACAGGUGGUGCAUGGCUGUCGUCAGCUCGUGUCGUGAGAUGUUGGGUUAAGUCCCGUAACGAGCGCAACCCUUAUCCUUACUUGCCAGCACGUAAUGGUGGGAACUUUAAGGAGACUGCCGGUGACAAACCGGAGGAAGGAGAGGAUGAUGUCAAGUCAUCAUGGCCCUUACGGCCUGGGCUACACACGUGCUACAAUGGGGAGUACAAAGGGUAGCAAUACCGCGAGGUGGAGCAAAUCCCAUAAACCGUGGCUCAGUUCAGAUCGUAGGCUGCAACUCGCCUACGUGAAGGCGGAAUCGCUAGUAAUCGCAGGUC
Molecule: ribosomal RNA, 434 nt
Filed under: uncultured bacterium
Lineage: Bacteria
Description: bacterial SSU rRNA
Rfam family: Bacterial small subunit ribosomal RNA
Source: RNAcentral